UUGCACCAGGCCAGACAGCAGACUAGCAGGUGAUGGGAGAUGCCACAAGGUCACACGUCCUCAAGGGGACACCCUCCACUCCACAGGUGGCUGUGCUGAAGGAACUCCCCAAGAGCUGGCAUUCUCCGAGGGGCCCUGGUCACUCAGCACCGCAGGUGGGCAGCUCUGUAGGCACUCACCCCAACUCACCCUGCAGGGACCUGCAGCCUCUUCCCAGCCGAGCCAGGAGAGUCACUCCCAGCACAGACCAGCAAGCUCUUGGGUGUUUUAACACUCAAAAUCCACAUCCUCUUUAAAUAAAGUUGAUUAUUUCCAGCCAACAUUGUGAAAAAAUAAGCCCCCUGUCAUGUACAGGUGCUCUGGGCCCCCGCCCUCACUGUGUCAUUCCUGACCAGCCUGCAGCCACAUCUCAGCGGCUGCUGGCCAGCACCCAGGGUGAAAAGGGGGGCAGGAGGGCGGGGGAGUGGGAAGGGAGAGAGGAGGAGCGUGAGUCAGCAGCCAGGGUGCAGACUGGGGAGCAGGCCUCACUGCAGCGCCCACGUCUGAGGAGCAGGAUCAGCCCAGGUAACAGGUUGUAACCAUGUUAGAAGAAAAGCCAGGCCCUGUGUCUCCCAGGGACAGGCUCUGCUGAGCAGGCGCCCACAGUCAGUAUCACCGGCACAGGUGGGAGAUGAGCUCAGGUCCCCACACUGCGGCGGCGUGGGAACCAGAGGGCCGGGUUCAGAACAGCCAGUGGCAAACCAGCUCCGUUUUUCUUACGGACUUCCUUCCCUUCUCUCUGAUUCCACCAUAUCCCACACCUGGAUGGGAGCCACAGCUGUUUGGAAAUACAGUGAUACUUCUUCUGGAUUUCUGCAUUUCCCAAGCUACAUAAAGCAUCAAUAAUUUUAUCUACACUGGUAUCACCAGUGUAGCCUCUGCCACCGACUGGUCUCCCCAUUCAGCAGCAGGCCUGCCUCACCAACAGGACCAGAGGCUCCAGAGAGGUAGCCAGGCCCCAGCUGGCCUGAGCUUUACUACCCCUCCAGUGUGAAGAUCCACUCAAAGCGAGGAAGGUCCCAUGGAAGGGACACAUGAGUCCCCAAAGGACUCCGGCUGGCCAAAGAUGGGACAAUCUGAGCAUCAAAAAGAAUAAUGUCCACAAUGGCCUGAUGUUUAAAUGUUUAAAGGUCUAUCAGCUCAUAAAACAAAACCCCAGUGGUCACCUUUGGUGACCAGAGUACAGCACAGUCUGAAAAGUAAUAAAUAAAAUGCUUCUAUAGGAAGUGGAAUUUCA
Molecule: non-coding RNA, 1276 nt
Organism: Vicugna pacos (alpaca)
Lineage: Eukaryota; Metazoa; Chordata; Mammalia; Artiodactyla; Camelidae
Source: RefSeq, a predicted model, not a curated record